UAGAAAGUGGUGUAGUGGGAGCACUUGGAGUUUUGAUCUCCGUGGUAUGGGUUCGAGUCCCUUCUUUCUAG
Molecule: transfer RNA, 71 nt
Filed under: Hydrolycus scomberoides (payara)
Lineage: Eukaryota; Metazoa; Chordata; Actinopteri; Characiformes; Characidae
Description: tRNA-Gln
Rfam family: tRNA
About the family: Transfer RNA (tRNA) molecules are approximately 80 nucleotides in length. Their secondary structure includes four short double-helical elements and three loops (D, anti-codon, and T loops). Further hydrogen bonds mediate the characteristic L-shaped molecular structure. tRNAs have two regions of fundamental functional importance: the anti-codon, which is responsible for specific mRNA codon recognition, and the 3' end, to which the tRNAs corresponding amino acid is attached (by aminoacyl-tRNA synthetases). tRNAs cope with the degeneracy of the genetic code in two manners: having more than one tRNA (with a specific anti-codon) for a particular amino acid; and 'wobble' base-pairing, i.e. permitting non-standard base-pairing at the 3rd anti-codon position.
Source: RNAcentral